AGGAGAGGUGGGUGUUUACUGUGCUCCUGAUGAAAUACUGUUUUAAAACUGUUCAAGCACUUAUAGUGCACUAAAUCUGUACUCUUACUUGUGUUUUAGUACUAAGAGUAAGUUAUCUCUGGUUGUGUGGGUAGUUCGUUUGUGUAGAGAUUUUUUUUAUAUAAGUACAGCAGAUUUAGUGGAGUUAAGGGAGAUACUGCUACCAGUUAAGCUAAUAUGGUGUGCUUUUCUUCUCACAGUUGCAUGUGUGUGUGUGAGAAGGACCAGAAUUCACUCUAUGCUGUGUUGUAUGCUACUCUCAUGCACAGGUACUGCCACAGGUUAAUUGUUUAAUUGUUUAAUUAAUUUAGCUAAUUGUUUAAUUGCAUCAGCUGUUUAUUUUUAUUGGAAUUUGUUUUGUUAUAAUGAAAUUAAUGUUCAGAAGAAAAAAAUAUACGUCAUUUAUGGGAGUCUCUCUAUAUAUAUGUGCAUGGGGUAAUGUAUUAUGGUAAUGUAUAAUAUUGUAUUUUAUUUCAUAGCUAUAGAUAUAUUCUUAAUGUUUAUUUUCAUAACAUAGUACUCUAUAUUUGUGAUACAAUAUUUUAUGAUGUCUAUUUUAUUGUGUGUUUUAUCAACUUGAUGUAGAGGAAAAAAAGUGUACUGAGUUCGCGCUAAAUACUGCUGAGGAGAGUUGCAUGUGUGUGUGUGAGAAGGACCAGAAUUCACUCUAUGCUGUGUUGUAUGCUACUCUCAUGCACAGGAAAUAGAAAGAAUAAAACUCCCGUUGUAUGGCA
Astyanax mexicanus (Mexican tetra) is the source of this 773-nucleotide long non-coding RNA. RefSeq lists it as uncharacterized. The transcript is spliced from 2 exons. The record is from RefSeq and is a predicted model, not a curated record. Lineage: Eukaryota; Metazoa; Chordata; Actinopteri; Characiformes; Acestrorhamphidae.